Molecule: ribosomal RNA, 252 nt
Filed under: uncultured bacterium
Lineage: Bacteria
Description: partial 16S ribosomal RNA
Rfam family: Bacterial small subunit ribosomal RNA
Source: RNAcentral
UACGUAGGUGGCAAGCGUUGUCCGGAUUUAUUGGGUUAAAGGGUGCGUAGGCGGCCUUUUAAGUCAGUGCUGAAAUACUCUAGCUUAACUAGAGGGGUGGCAUUGAUACUGAAAGGCUUGAGUGAAGUCGAAGUAGGCGGAAUUGACGGUGUAGCGGUGAAAUGCUUAGAUAUCGUCAAGAACACCGAUAGUGAAGACAGCUUACUAGACUUCAACUGACGCUGAGGCACGAAAGUGUGGGGAUCAAACAGG